GGAGAUGUGAAUUAGAGGAAAAAGGAAUGAAAAUUAGCGGAGGCCAAUGGGAGAGGAAGGGGUGACAUCUAAUGUAGGUUCUCAUUCAUUUUCCUGGUUCAGUGAUGCAGCAAGGCCCAACGGGUCCACCCACUCACCAAAUUGUAUUCCUCUGUCUCCCCCAUCCCAUCCACAUGCACAGAAUCACACACACGUAAAUAUUCUCCACCAACCAGCGGGGCCGGCGUCCGCCAUGACGUCACACUGCAGUUCUUCUCGGGCUCCACUGGAUGACAGUGGCAAUUCGCCGCUUACACGCGAUGAGCCGUCAUUCUUAAUGGCGACCGCUCAGAGUGUGUUUGCUUGCACCUCUGGUUCAUUCUCCACUUACUGCCGUAACUACCUGGAUUUCCCCUGACACCGUUCCUUCGCUCCAGCUUACUUCCACCCCGAUUCUUCCUCCAAGCUGCCUCCACACCUCCUGUGGAAAAUCAGGAAACUCGCUGGCCUACCCUCAUUCUCAUCACAACCAUCCACAGCUUCUAGAAAUUGUGCCUGGACAUUCUCGUUUCACUCGCCGCUAACUUCGCCAUCACCCCCGGAGAACCACCCCACCCUCAAUAGCUUCUUUCCUUCACCUGCCAAGUAAGCACUCUUCUUUUAUUCACCUCAUCAUUAAACUCUCCUGUAGUCCACUGCACUGGAAAUAAUGCCUCUCUCCUCCCGUUGCAGUGUAUCCAGCCCCUGUGAAGUUUCCUCUGAGCCCUGCUCUGCCUUUGAUAAUCCCUGUGUUAAAUAAAAUCUGUUUAAGUUUGAAUUCUUCCUGUAUUGAGUCUGCUUUUGGGGCCACCUUCAAACCAGCCUCUUAGCCUUUUGACAGUGCAUUUUCAUGCCAGAAAUCCACUGUUAUGUGGAUGUUUUUACAGACUGACGGAACUACCAUUGCAGAGUUUUUUUCAGGAAUUCAACAAGUGAUUAACAAAAGUGAUAGGAUUCUUUCUGCCUCUUUUCUGUGGUUACAACUGAAUAUAACUGCAAUGCACUCCUGCAACAAUAGAAAGAUUAGACAAACCUGCUAUUCAGCCGUGUUGUUUACUUUUAAAGAGACUGGUUCUGUCAGUAAGCAGUCUGUCCAAAUCAGGACAGGCACAGGAUAUAAUGUUUCAAUUACAGAUAACACUCUCUGUACGAACAUAACAUUAAAUACAUCCCUGAAGUAGCUCGGCUCUCUAAGUCUUUGACCAAGACAGCUGAGCAAAGGUCUUUUAAUGCCAAGUCACAAAAAUAUUUAUCAGCCUUGUGCAUGCCACGUGCAAUGCAUUUUUUCUUUUAAGAAACAAC
RNAcentral lists this long non-coding RNA (1320 nucleotides) under Oreochromis niloticus (Nile tilapia). RNAcentral's name for it is "lncRNA (ENSONIG00000032886.1)". Lineage: Eukaryota; Metazoa; Chordata; Actinopteri; Cichliformes; Cichlidae. The record is from RNAcentral.